UACGUAGGUCCCGAGCGUUGUCCGGAUUUAUUGGGCGUAAAGCGAGCGCAGGUGGUUUAUUAAGUCUGGUGUAAAAGGCAGUGGCUCAACCAUUGUAUGCAUUGGAAACUGGUAGACUUGAGUGCAGGAGAGGAGAGUGGAAUUCCAUGUGUAGCGGUGAAAUGCGUAGAUAUAUGGAGGAACACCGGUGGCGAAAGCGGCUCUCUGGCCCGUAACUGACACUGAGGCUCGAAAGCAUGGGGAGCAAACAGG
This 252-nucleotide ribosomal RNA is filed under the name uncultured bacterium. Its description in RNAcentral is "partial 16S ribosomal RNA". It matches the Rfam family "Bacterial small subunit ribosomal RNA", at positions 524 to 776 of the family's 1533-position model. The record is from RNAcentral.